UUGACCUCGAAUCAUGUAGGACUACCCGCU
Molecule: ribosomal RNA, 30 nt
Filed under: Beauveria bassiana
Lineage: Eukaryota; Fungi; Ascomycota; Sordariomycetes; Hypocreales; Cordycipitaceae
Description: partial 28S ribosomal RNA
Source: RNAcentral